UAAAAACAGAACAAAAUCAAAAUUUUUUAAAAGUUUAGUCAAGAAAAGGACAUCUAAAUUGUUUAGAUAACUGUAGUGACAUAGACCAGAGAAGGUUUCAAAGGAAAUCACUGUUUGUUCGUAAAGUGCAAAUCCCUUUCCGGGGAAUUAGUAUCAUGAAAAUUAUUACCCAAAAAUCGUAAGUAUAUGCAUGGUUUUGUUCUGAAUAUAUUGCCAAUUAAAAAAACAAAUUAUUUUUUCAGAUGGAGUUGCUUGGAUACAAGGAGAAUCUUACAGAAUACAAAUGAACUUGAAGGCAUCAGUAAUAUUUUCAAAAUAAUAGAGAAAUGACACAAAGAGUGAAAGAGGUAAUUGAAACCUGUCUUUGAUGGGAAUAACACUUAAAAGGAACAUUGUACCUAUCUGCUGGCAGCUUUAAAAAAUAUUAAUGAUUACUGGAAUUGAGAAAUGUCAAUAGUAUGAAACGAGCAAAACUGCUUCCCUAAUGAGAUUUUACAAGGUGAGCAAUUGUUUUGAACAUUUUCUAACCUUGACUUUUCUGUUUAUCUUAAGAAUUUAAAAAACAAAACAAAACAAAAAACUAGUGUUUAAAUAUGAAAAGGAGACUUGUGGCAAAUUCAGAAUAUAAUAAGUGAUCAUUAAAAUAGAAAUGCCUUCUCUAACCAGAAAAAUGAAUAAGGAAAUUAUAACUUACAUUCUUUGUGGAUGUCUUUACAGAGAUAAAGUAGUGAAAUAUUUACUUGAAAUAACAUUCAUCAUCAAUGCUGAAGUUUACAGAAGACAAAAAUAUAUAACUCAUUUCUUCAUAGACAGCCCCAGGACACAUGCAGUGGAUGCAUUGUGUUCUCCUGGGUUGCAUAACUACUUUGAAAGAAGUUUUCUUUUCUGUGUCAUAAAAGAAGACUUUUUGGCUCUGCCAGGAUACUCUACCAUUUGGCCCCACAGACUUCAAGCAUGCCUGAAGAUACAUGCCAAUUGGUUGUUGGUUUUUGAAAAUCCUGAUCUCUGCUGAGUUACCCAACUGGACUCAGAAGGGUCUGACCCACGUGCCACAUUCCAGCUGUUUGCUUGUUUGUUUUUAAUCUCAACCUGGUUUAAAGGGAAGAAGGCUAACUAAAUGCGGAAGCCAUCUUGUUUUCCACAUCACUGGCUCUAGCAUGCUAUAGAAGAUCACCAUGACAACAGGAGCUGGUUUGCCUGGUGUGAAGACAACAGUGUAGGCCUCAUUUCCUAGAUGCAUGUUUCUACUGAAGUUGAUUCACCAAUUAAAAGACUCUUUUCUCUCCUUGGGGGCUUCAGAGAUGCAAAUGGUGUUGGAAAAGCUGGCUGGUCAUCUGCUACACCUAGUAACUCCUCUUGAUUAUCUAAAAAUGAAAUUACUCUUGUUUAAUUUUUUUUUAAACUAGGUAUUUCUGAUUCACACUGAGCUGGGAGUUAAUACUCAAAUUGAGAAUACUUGCUUGAAAUUGUGAACUGCUAUCCCUGUUAUAACUUGCGAUUACUCUUUAAGUCCUUUAAAAAAGAUUAUUCUGAAUGUGUUUUUAAGCAUCCUCUUAUCACAUUAUGAGAUAUACAGUAAUGCAUUGUUAACUCUUCAUGUCAUUCAUUAUGUGAAUAAGAAACAUAGAAUGUAAUGAUGAAAAUUAACACAGAUUGUUAAAAAAUAUAUUAAAAAUAUGUGAUGAUGACACAAAAGUAAAAUUUAAAUGUUAGUCUGAAUAUAUUCCUACAGAAUAUCUUUCUGAUUUAAAGCAAGAAAAUAUAAAGCAAGUAUUAAGACCCAGAUUCACAAAGAAGAAUUUUCUUGACAUUCGGGAGCUCAAAUUACAAAUGCCAUUAAUGAGUUUUUAUUUAAAAUAAAGAAUUGUAUAUCUAGUUUAGGGACAAAUUAAGAAACUAAAAACUUUAACACAAGUAUUUUAGAAUAAAUAUACCAAUUUUAAACUG
Molecule: non-coding RNA, 1947 nt
Organism: Chlorocebus sabaeus (green monkey)
Lineage: Eukaryota; Metazoa; Chordata; Mammalia; Primates; Cercopithecidae
Source: RefSeq, a predicted model, not a curated record